UGGAGGGUACAAUUCUAAACUGCGGACCAUGACGGCUUCAUUCCUUGGGCAAUACUGGCUGGGCACACUACUCGCGGGGCGAAUCUUCUCCCUGGACUGAGUGGUCUUCCAUUGGAAGGAGAAGGGCCAGCACCUCAUCCUUCAGAGUCCCACCCGUGGGAGGGGUCUCGGGAACCACUCCAUCCGACACCUCGGAGUUCCUUUCUGAAGGGGGUGGUGCCGGGGUGGCGUCCGGGCUCUUCCGCUUACUGGGUCCUGGGGCAAUGGGGAUCCCUUCGAGGAUCAGGGCCUCGUCAUCCUCGAUGGCCACCAUCCUCCUUCUGGCACGAAUGGUAAGGUGGGCAUCCUUCAG
Molecule: long non-coding RNA, 352 nt
Filed under: Setaria italica (foxtail millet)
Lineage: Eukaryota; Viridiplantae; Streptophyta; Magnoliopsida; Poales; Poaceae
Description: long non-coding RNA (SITA_LNC000672)
Source: RNAcentral